UUAAGGCUGGAUCAUUCUGGUCCGGCUGGCGUGUGCCACCCGGUUAAAAGGGAACACGGUGCGGCGUAGCCAAAAGGCACCAAAUCCGUGACUGCCCCCGCAACUGUGAGCGGAGAGCGAAGCUGCAAGAUACCACUGCCUUUCAGGGCGGGAAGGUGCAGCAGAGCCACGACCCGCGAGUCAGGAGACCUGCCAGGAUGAUCACCCUGUU
This 211-nucleotide non-coding RNA is filed under the name Tritonibacter multivorans. Lineage: Bacteria; Pseudomonadati; Pseudomonadota; Alphaproteobacteria; Rhodobacterales; Paracoccaceae. The record is from RNAcentral.